GCUGGCAGCUAGCUCUCUGCAACUCUCACAUGGUCGCCCACUGAAGCUAAGCAAGGUUGUGCCUGGUUUGUACCUGGAUGGGAGACCACAUGGGAAAGCUAGGUUGCUGCCAGAA
This 115-nucleotide ribosomal RNA is filed under the name Danio rerio (zebrafish). Lineage: Eukaryota; Metazoa; Chordata; Actinopteri; Cypriniformes; Danionidae. The record is from RNAcentral.